GGUGCUAUAGCUCAGAGGCAGAGCACUUACCUAGCAUGUGUGAGGCACUGGGUUCAAUCCCGGGGGCACUG
Molecule: transfer RNA, 71 nt
Filed under: Ictidomys tridecemlineatus (thirteen-lined ground squirrel)
Lineage: Eukaryota; Metazoa; Chordata; Mammalia; Rodentia; Sciuridae
Description: Spermophilus tridecemlineatus (thirteen-lined ground squirrel) tRNA
Rfam family: tRNA
About the family: Transfer RNA (tRNA) molecules are approximately 80 nucleotides in length.
Source: Rfam by way of RNAcentral